This 397-nucleotide ribosomal RNA is filed under the name uncultured bacterium. RNAcentral's name for it is "partial 16S ribosomal RNA". It matches the Rfam family "Bacterial small subunit ribosomal RNA", at positions 523 to 918 of the family's 1533-position model. The record is from RNAcentral.
AUACGUAGGGGGCGAGCGUUGUCCGGAAUGAUUGGGCGUAAAGGGCGCGUAGGCGGCCCGGUAAGUCUGGAGUGAAAGUCCUGUUUUUAAGAUGGGAAUUGCUUUGGAUACUGUCGGGCUUGAGUGCAGGAGAGGUAAGUGGAAUUCCCAGUGUAGCGGUGAAAUGCGUAGAGAUUGGGAGGAACACCAGUGGCGAAGGCGACUUACUGGACUGUAACUGACGCUGAGGCGCGAAAGUGUGGGGAGCAAACAGGAUUAGAUACCCUGGUAGUCCACACUGUAAACGAUGAAUGCUAGGUGUAAGAGGUAUCGACCCCUUUUGUGCCGGAGUUAACACAAUAAGCAUUCCGCCUGGGGAGUACGGCCGCAAGGUUGAAACUCAAAUGAAUUGGCGGGG